UGCUUCACUUCAAACCAGGGAAGUGUGUGCAUAUAUUUUUCCAUUUAAAUUCAGUUAUAAUGGUUGGGAUAAAAUAUGCAGAGAAGCUAACAAGGGAGCUGAUAAAUUGGCCAGCCUUCUUUCUAAUCCGAUUGCCUGUAUUCAACUGGUUAGGCAACCACCGAUUGCCUGUAUUCGGUUUUCUUCAAGAUGAUCUGAAUAGUCCCUUGUAGUAAUUUUCUUAAGGCUACGCCUUCCUUUGUUACCAAAAAAUGAGAAAUAUGGGGAAAAAUCAAAGUAAGUUCACUUUCCUUUACAUGGUAGAAAAUAUUAUAUUUCGAUAAAUAAUUUUAAUCUAUAGUAAUUAUUAAAAAAGAACUUGAAGGGCUUUUCUUUCAACAUUUUAACGAAAACAAAACUUACCGAGCGAAGGGACAUUUGCUUUCCAACCAUUACCGAGCGAAAGCCACAGUUUGGAUACUGGUAGUCUAACGUGUAAUUGUGA
This 484-nucleotide long non-coding RNA is filed under the name Gossypium raimondii (Peruvian cotton). RNAcentral's name for it is "long non-coding RNA (GRAI_LNC008458)". Lineage: Eukaryota; Viridiplantae; Streptophyta; Magnoliopsida; Malvales; Malvaceae. The record is from RNAcentral.